RNAcentral lists this ribosomal RNA (497 nucleotides) under uncultured bacterium. RNAcentral's name for it is "partial 16S ribosomal RNA". It matches the Rfam family "Bacterial small subunit ribosomal RNA", at positions 28 to 507 of the family's 1533-position model. The record is from RNAcentral.
GAUGAACGCUGGCGGCGUGCCUAAUACAUGCAAGUCGAGCGAACAGACGAGGAGCUUGCUCCUCUUACGUUAGCGGCGGACGGGUGAGUAACACGUGGAUAACCUACCUAUAAGACUGGGAUAACUUCUGGAAACCGGAGCUAAUACCGGAUAAUAUCUUUAACCGCAUGGUUCAAUAGUGAAAGACGGUUUUGCUUUCACUUAUAGAUGUAUCCGCGCCGCAUUAGCUAGUUGGUAAGGUAACGGCUUACCAAGGCAACGAUGCGUAGCCGACCUGAGAGGGUGAUAGGCCACACGGGAACUGAGACACGGUCCAGACUCCUACGGGAGGCAGCAGUAGGGAAUCUUCCGCAAUGGGCGAAAGCCGGACGGAGAAACGCCGCGUGAGUGAUGAAGGUCUUCGGAUCGUAAAACUCUGUUAUUAGGGAAGAACAAAUGUGUAAGUAACUAUGCACGUCUUGACGGUACCUAAUCAGAAAGCCACGGCUAACUACGUG